GCUGCCUGCACUGCAGCUUCACGACCCAGGUGCCUUUGGUAGGAAUAAAGCCAAGGAGGAAGAAGACCUUACCCCUGCUGCAGUUCUAACACUCCAGAUCUCCCCCAAGGCCAAUUCUUGUGCAGACUCACUUCUUUGCUUUUUAUCCUCAGAGGUGAUUUAUAGUGUGACUGCUGGAAGCAUUUCCAUGACCUAUUGAACCACUUUCUACUGGUAUCACAGUAAACCAUGCAAGCAGGACUGUGUAUUCCCAGUAACCACAGGGCUGCAUGGGGAGAUCCUUCCUGUAAUAGAUGUCAUCUUCAUCUUUUAAGUUCAGCUUGGUGAGUAACUGGCUAGUCUUGACAACACUCUCAUCCUUGCCUUGUUCUGCAGGAUGCCCACGUGUAGGCCCACCUGCAAGUCCAGCUGUCCAGCUGCAGAGCCCAUGCAAACCAAGCCCCCACUUCUGCCACCUCUGGGGAUGCUAGGCGGUGUCUCUGUGUCUGGCUCUGGCAGGUGAACUUGGUGAAUUUGAACACCGGUUUCAAAGAAUUACAAGAUAAUGUUCUCAUCCAGGAUUUGCAAACAGGGCUGUGGUUCAUGGGUUCUCUGCUCCCUUGUGCCAGAAGCUACCCAGAACCGACAACCAGACUCAUGGGAUGGAAGAACAGAAAGAAUAAAAAACAAACGCCCACCUGUGACACAGAUAAAAGAGAAAGCAAGUGAGAGUGUCUUACCCGUGUGUGACUCUUCCAGCUGUGGAUAUAAGGAACUACUUAAGCGGCAAGCCCAUGACUCAAUUGCAAUGGAAAUCACAGAGCUGGUUUAAUGUUUAAAAAUAAAAAGGACCAUGUUCUUUCUGAGGUUGACCA
RNAcentral lists this long non-coding RNA (854 nucleotides) under Sus scrofa (pig). RNAcentral describes it as "lncRNA (ENSSSCG00070016184.1)". The record is from RNAcentral. Lineage: Eukaryota; Metazoa; Chordata; Mammalia; Artiodactyla; Suidae.